RNAcentral lists this small RNA (59 nucleotides) under Streptococcus pyogenes. The record is from RNAcentral. Lineage: Bacteria; Bacillati; Bacillota; Bacilli; Lactobacillales; Streptococcaceae.
CAACCAAUAAAAAGAUAAGACAUUUUAUGUUGCAAAAAGGCUGCUUGGAAACUUCCAUG